Molecule: ribosomal RNA, 468 nt
Filed under: uncultured bacterium
Lineage: Bacteria
Description: partial 16S ribosomal RNA
Rfam family: Bacterial small subunit ribosomal RNA
Source: RNAcentral
GACGAACGCUGGCGGCGUGCUUAACACAUGCAAGUCGAACGGAAAGGCCCUGCUUUUGUGGGGUGCUCGAGUGGCGAACGGGUGAGUAACACGUGAGUAACCUGCCCUUGACUUUGGGAUAACUUCAGGAAACUGGGGCUAAUACCGGAUAGGAGCUCCUGCUGCAUGGUGGGGGUUGGAAAGUUUCGGCGGUUGGGGAUGGACUCGCGGCUUAUCAGCUUGUUGGUGGGGUAGUGGCUUACCAAGGCUUUGACGGGUAGCCGGCCUGAGAGGGUGACCGGCCACAAUGGGACGUAGGAACGGCCCAGAACCCUACGGGAGGCAGCAGUGGGGAAUAUUGCACAAUGGGCGGAAGCCUGAUGCAGCAACGCCGCGUGCGGGAUGACGGCCUUCGGGUUGUAAACCGCUUUCGCCUGUGACGAAGCGUGAGUGACGGUAAUGGGUAAAGAAGCACCGGCUAACUACGUG